Molecule: long non-coding RNA, 1206 nt
Organism: Manis pentadactyla (Chinese pangolin)
Lineage: Eukaryota; Metazoa; Chordata; Mammalia; Pholidota; Manidae
Exons: 4
Source: RefSeq, a predicted model, not a curated record
AUUCAGGGAACAGGGUUAUCAGAGACUCUGUCAUCUUUAGCAAGUUUAUUCUAAGGUUUCCUGUGUGUCCCUCCAGUCCAUUGUCUAGAGGAGCAUAAAGAGUCCUGAGGAGACCACGUGGGAGCUUUUUGCAGACAGGCUUGGUACCAGUGCUCAUUGCUGCUGCUCAAAAUCCCACCAGCUAGUAUUCAGUUACAUGGCUACACACUGGGUACCUGCAAAGGAGGAUGGGAAAUGUUGCCUGGCUGUAUGUCAGUGGAGAGAUGAAGAACUUGGAUUUUGUCUCAUCUGAUCAGAGGUGAUGCCUGGAGGGGCUUUCAAGUCAGAACCACCAGAUCAACUACUGAGAAUUCAAACUUAAAAGGAAAUUAAUUAUCAAUAAGGCACCACUGGCUGGGUGGAACUGAAUGCUUGCAAUCUGAACUCUGGGGGAAAAAGGAAAUCAGAGAGUGAUUAUUUUUGAAUGUGAACUUGAUUUGAGUAGCAGACACAGUGAAAAUACUUAUAAAAUGUGUCAUCAGUGCCAUCCCAGGAGGUUGCAAGACUGACCCCACUUCUGUGGUCAGUAUUCAUCCAUGCCUCAUAUACUUGGUCUGCAUUCUCAGGCCCUCAUCCUUGCCUUCCUGCCAAUCGCAGACCAGAGGUAAGCACUGUUGCAGCUGGUGAAGAUCCCCUCUGCUGUCAUUUAUGAGACAAGCAUGCUCCAAAGGAUGCUGGAAAAAGCCAAGCCAGGUUACAUUUCAGAGAAAAGUCAUUGCAAGGAUACAGUGCAUGCUGCGAUCUGGAAAUACCCCUGAAGAAAUCCACUUGAAAAACCUGCACUACUCUUGCUUCUUUGCCCCAGACUGUAAGAGAUUUCUGCACACAGGGUGUCAGAUGACUGGACGGAAGAAUGUCUGUCAUUGUCCUUGGGGAGCAGAGAGACCAUUUGUCCUUUCCUUAGCCGACCAAUGCACGGCUUUAGAACUCACCAGAGAGAACUGUGCCUCAACCAGCAUCCCUCUUCACUGAGGACUUCGGGAUCCUCUAUACUGGCACCAACCUUUUCACGUGCAGUCUUUUGCAUAUGCAGUUACUCUGGAGCCAUGGCUUAUCCAACUAUCUGUUCAUCCCCUUGUCUCUUGAGAGUUCACAUAAAGUGAAUGAGCAACCCCAUCUCUGCUAUGUUCAAGUAUCAGUAUUUUUCUCAAAGUCCCCUGAUGGUUA